AGACAAGCCCAUAUGAUACUUAAAUAUAUUUACAAACGUAAUACUACAAUAAUACAACAAAAUGUAUACUAGUAAUAAAUUACAUACUUACAAUUUAGAAUUUAAUUUGGCGGAUUGAUUGGUUUCACCAAGCCGUGUUGGGUUGCACGUAAAGAGGACCACCACGUUGAUUAGUGUUUUAAAUGAACCAACGAUUUAAAUUCCGUUGUGGGACUCCUCUUUGUGGGUCCUCAUCCCUCCCUCCACGUUUCGAUUUUUGGUCGUCCGAUUUGGGAUUUGAUCAGAGUAUUAUUUCGGUUGAUAAAGUCAUACAAACCAACGGAUACGAUGAGCUGUUGGUUGAAGUAAUCAAUAGUAUGGACUUUGACCACGACAUUACAACGGCUUGUCCAAUGUCCUAAUCAUAUGCCAUUUUUUCCACAAGUAAGUUUUGGUUUCGGCCUAAUUUUGAUAUG
This is a long non-coding RNA of Arabidopsis thaliana (thale cress), 455 nucleotides long. RefSeq annotates it as other RNA. The transcript has a single exon. NCBI's taxonomy places the organism in Eukaryota, Viridiplantae, Streptophyta, Magnoliopsida, Brassicales, Brassicaceae. The record is from RefSeq.